ACGGCUACCAUUAUGGUAUGGGGGCAAACAAAGCGCUUGAAAAUAGAGAAAUGUGUUUUUGAUUGUUCAAUUAAUGUUAAUAGUCAUCCGAACUUGAUUUUUUAUAUUUUGCUUCCUGAUCCAAAGAGAAGAAAAUCGUGGUUUUAUGCUUUAUAUAGAAUUGAUUCAUCUUGCAAACAAACUUUGGUCGCAAAACAUGUCUAAGUUUGCUCAAAACAUUUUGUAUUUGAAUAUUAUGUACAAAAAAGUCAUUGCAAUAAAUCUCAAGUUAUUCAAGUCAGUGAACAAAUAAGUACUGAUAAAUAAUGCAGAAUUAGCUAGGAUUGUUCUUAGGUCACAAAACAAUCUUACAAAUAGAGUUUCUGCUGCUGUCACUGGUUUUAGAGAGUACCUUCGUGAAUAAAGAUAAAAAGUCAUUUAUGUUAUUUUUUAAAAGCCAAGACAUAAUAUUGUUAAUCCUCAUACCAUUUACUAAAAAACUUUAUAAAUAUUGUUACGAUGUUAUAAUUCAAAUUGUUGUAAUUAGUAAUUUUGAUCAUUUCAUUAUUAUACUGUAAAAAAUAUUUUUUAUUUAUAACAUUUAUUUCACAUAUAUUAAAAACAUGAGGAAUAAAUAUUACACUGAGGAAAAUUUUAAGCAAAAUAUAGAAUUUUUAAAUGUUAUUAGAAUAUCAAUAUGUAAUA
Long non-coding RNA from Hydra vulgaris (swiftwater hydra), 684 nucleotides. RefSeq lists it as uncharacterized. Lineage: Eukaryota; Metazoa; Cnidaria; Hydrozoa; Anthoathecata; Hydridae. The record is from RefSeq and is a predicted model, not a curated record.